GGUUCCAUAGUAUAAUUGGAUAGUACAUCCGCCUCCUAAGCGGCUAAUCCCGGUUCGACCCCGGGUGGGACCA
RNAcentral lists this transfer RNA (73 nucleotides) under Candidatus Limosilactobacillus faecipullorum. RNAcentral's name for it is "tRNA-Arg". It matches the Rfam family "tRNA". From Rfam's summary of the family: Transfer RNA (tRNA) molecules are approximately 80 nucleotides in length. Their secondary structure includes four short double-helical elements and three loops (D, anti-codon, and T loops). Lineage: Bacteria; Bacillati; Bacillota; Bacilli; Lactobacillales; Lactobacillaceae. The record is from RNAcentral.